Long non-coding RNA from Mus musculus (house mouse), 2811 nucleotides. RefSeq annotates it as predicted gene, 34144. The record is from RefSeq and is a predicted model, not a curated record. The transcript is spliced from 2 exons. Lineage: Eukaryota; Metazoa; Chordata; Mammalia; Rodentia; Muridae.
UCAAUGACUUUGGUAAUUAAGACCACACCCCAGCUGAUUAAGGAGAACACAGAAAAGAGGAUCCUCACAGAAGAAGAGGGGUUGGACUAUUUGGCUAAUAUACACUGCCUCACUCACUUGGGACCCCAAAAGAUGACAGAACUAGUUAAUAGAUCCCCUUACCAUAUCCCUAGAUUACAAAAGGCAGUAGAAGACCUAGUGAAGAACUGUUGAGCAUGUGCCCUCACCAAUGCCAGGUCCAGCAAGUACCAUGGCAGAAAAUGCUUAUAGGGAGAUAGGCCUGGGACUUCCUGGGAGGUUGACUUUACUGAGGUCAAGCCAACCCGUUAUGGAAAUAAGUACCUUCUAGUUUUUGUAGAUACCUUUUCAGGAUGGACUGAAGCAUUCCCCACCAAGAGGGAAAUGGCUAAUGUGGUAGCCAAGAAGAUACUCAGAGAAAUCUUUCCCCAUUUUGGGGUACCAAAGGUACUUGGGUCAGACAACGGGCCUACCUUCGUUUCCCAGGUAAGCCAGGGAUUGGCCAUAUAGCUAGGGAUGAAUUGGAAGUUACAUUGUGCUUACAGACCCCAGUGUUCAGGACAGGUAGAAAGAAUGAAUAAGACCCUAAAAGAGACCUUGACUAAAUUGACCUUAGAAACCGGCGGGAAUGAUUGGACAGCCCUUCUCCCUUAUGCCCUAUUCCGGGUCAGGAACACUCCUGGAGCCUUGGGUCUAACACCUUUCGAACUAAUGUUUAGGGUGCCCCCACCCCUCUAUGUGACUGUAGAAAAUAGAACUUGUCCUGAUGUUUCCUCCAUUCCCUCAUCAAACCUUCUAGCUUGGCUGAAGACCCUCAAAACCAUGAGGAAAGAAAUGUGGGAGCAGUUGAAAGAGACCUACAUCGCUGGCGACUUACAGGUGCCACAUCAGUUUGAAGUGGGAGACACUGUCCUAGUGAUAAGGCAUCGAGCAGGGAACCUCAAGCCACGGGGGAAGGGACCCUACCUCUGGUGCUAUUGACUACACCCACCGCCAUUAAGAUAGAAGGAAUCCCUACUUGGGUUCAUGCUUCACACGUUAAGAAGGCUCCCCCUGAGACUGAUCGAGAUGAGUGGACCCUGGAAAAGAUUAAUAAUCCUCUUAAGUUGCGCUUAAGUCGCAGCUCAGCACCGAAACCCCAACCCUCAUACUCCAAUUGAGCAAAUUUGGGAAGUGCUUAAUGAAGAGGAAAACAUUAUUUGGUCGACCACCGCAGUUCACCCCCGUGGACUUGCUGACCUGACCUCACACCUGAUAUUUGUAAGUUGGCAGCAGCGGGACUACUUACCUGGGACCUCCCCGAACAUAUCGAUCUCCAUAACCCACCACCUGACAAACUAUGUGUCCCGAACGGGAUAGGGAGCAUGUUUGGGUUCUCAGGGCAGUUCUACCGGGCCAACCUCCGGUCCGCAGAAUUUUAUGUUUGCCCUGGCCAAGGCCAGAGCCGAAAGCUUCGGCAUACGUGUGUGUUGGUGGGGGCGGGGCGGGCAUCAGACUUUAUUGUGCUGCAUGGGUUGUGAAACCACAGGAGAUGCUUACUGGAAUCCUACCUCUACCUGGGACCUGAUUACGGUAAAAAGGGGCAGCAGCCUUGACAAGCCAAACCAAGGUGAGAGAGAUGGUUCUACAUACCCUGAGAACGGGUGUGCCCACAGCAACAGCCCCAGUGGACCCUGUAAAGAACCCUUUGGCCCAAUGACAUCUUCGGCAGCUGUGACGACGGUCCUGUGCAGACUCUCUUACACAUCUAUUUCCAUCACCAGACACUAGGCCAGACGGGCAGCUUCGCGGUCAUUGGCUCAAACCUGGACAUGUCAGAAGCUAACUGCAAACUGAUGGAACUUAACCUGGAGAUCAGAGAGUCUCUCCGCACAGUGCAGUCAUAUCCGCUCCUAGCACAGGCCAAACCGGUUGGAAAUAUGACGAGCACUGGAUUCUGAGCGACUUGCAACCCUCAAGAGGGAGUAAGCUGAAGAUGAUCAAGACUGCUAGCCAAGCACCUUUUAGGAACCCUUGUGCUUCAUUGAUAACUUUGCGGGCAGCACUUUUAACUGUAGUCUACUAACUUCAAACUGUCAAAAACAAAUAAAACUGAAGAAAAAUAUCUAACUGCUUAACUGCUGCAGAGACCUCCACAGUAACUGUAUGAAGAAGGAAUUAUUUUUAUUUUUAUUAACCUGUGUGAAUAAGAAUAAGGGCUAAAAGCGACAAGUACAAACUACAUUACUCUGGAAAAAGGAAGAAAUUCCAAGAAUGUUUGCAAUAAUGGCCCAAAGACGUUGCAGGGCAGGGUGAACUGAGGCUCAGAUGGGGCCAACGCCUGUUAGCUGAAGACCUGCACCUGCAGAGCCUCUUGGAUUUCCAGCCGCCAUCAACACAGAGUUGACACUUAAUGAUCAACUUGACCACCCAGUCAGACAGAUAACACAGACUUAUUUGCAAAAACCAUUGGGUCUGGGGUUUUUUGUUUUUGUUUUUUCCGACUGACGGGAUAAGGGUUUGGGGUGUUUGGGUUUUUGAUUGGUUUUUGUUUUUUGUUUUUUGGGUUUUUUUUUUUCUUUUUUGGUCUGUAUAAGGAAUUGUGUGUGUGUGUGCGUGCGUGUGUGACAGUCCUGUUUUCAAGGUGUGAAUGUUUGGUGACAGCUUUUCAGAGCAUGCCUAAAAGAGCACUGCAAGAUUAUUUUUGAAGAAAUUUUAUUUUAUUAGAUCUAACUCUUCAUAGUGUGUAAAUGUUAGAACACUUUAAUAAUAUUUUAAAACUGGGUUUUUCCCAGUGUCUCAAGAAAAAAAAAA